This 83-nucleotide transfer RNA is filed under the name Actinomycetes bacterium. RNAcentral describes it as "Actinobacteria bacterium tRNA-Leu". It matches the Rfam family "tRNA". From Rfam's summary of the family: Transfer RNA (tRNA) molecules are approximately 80 nucleotides in length. Lineage: Bacteria; Bacillati; Actinomycetota; Actinomycetes. The record is from RNAcentral. RNAcentral also lists the same sequence under 1 other name.
GCGGGUGUGGCGGAACUGGUAGACGCGCCGGGUUUAGGACCCGGUGGGCAAUGCCCUUGGAGGUUCAAGUCCUCUCACCCGCA